RNAcentral lists this unclassified non-coding RNA (200 nucleotides) under Podospora sp. RNAcentral describes it as "partial internal transcribed spacer 2". Lineage: Eukaryota; Fungi; Ascomycota; Sordariomycetes; Sordariales; Podosporaceae. The record is from RNAcentral.
UUAAGUUCAGCGGGUAUUCCUACCUGAUCCGAGGUCAACCUUAAGAAGUAGGGGGUUUUACGGCCAGCACCCGCCACACGCCCUGAGCGAAGAGUAAACUACUGCACUCGGUGUGAUAGCGAGCCCGCCACUGGUUUUAGGAGGCUGCGGCGGCCGCAGGGCUCCAACGCAAGCCUAGGGCUUGAUGGUUGAAAUGACGC